RNAcentral lists this ribosomal RNA (434 nucleotides) under uncultured Lachnospiraceae bacterium. RNAcentral describes it as "partial 16S ribosomal RNA". It matches the Rfam family "Bacterial small subunit ribosomal RNA", at positions 341 to 792 of the family's 1533-position model. Lineage: Bacteria; Bacillati; Bacillota; Clostridia; Lachnospirales; Lachnospiraceae. The record is from RNAcentral.
ACGGAAGGCAGCAGUGGGGAAUAUUGGACAAUGGGCGCAAGCCUGAUCCAGCGACGCCGCGUGAGUGAAGAAGUAUUUCGGUAUGUAAAGCUCUAUCAGCAGGGAAGAUAGUGACGGUACCUGACUAAGAAGCACCGGCUAAAUACGUGCCAGCAGCCGCGGUAAUACGUAUGGUGCAAGCGUUAUCCGGAUUUACUGGGUGUAAAGGGAGCGCAGACGGCAUGGCAAGCCAGAUGUGAAAGGCAGGGGCUCAACUCCUGGACUGCAUUUGGAACUGUCAAGCUAGAGUAUCGGAGAGGUAAGUGGAAUUCCUAGUGUAGCGGUGAAAUGCGUAGAUAUUAGGAGGAACACCAGUGGCGAAGGCGGCUUACUGGACGAUAACUGACGUUGAGGCUCGAAAGCGUGGGGAGCAAACAGGAUUAGAUACCCUGGUA